Molecule: transfer RNA, 55 nt
Filed under: Passalurus ambiguus
Lineage: Eukaryota; Metazoa; Nematoda; Chromadorea; Rhabditida; Oxyuridae
Description: tRNA-Leu
Source: RNAcentral
GUGUAUUUAGUAUAAGAAAUAUUGUAAAUUUAGGUUUUACAGAUUGAGUUACAUU